GUUUCCGUAGGUGAACCUGCGGAAGGAUCAUUAUCGUACAACCGAGGUGCAAGGGCUGUCGCUGACCUUUGAAGGUCGUGCACGCCCGAGCGCUCUCGCCACAAUCCAUCUCACCCCUUUGUGCAUCACCGCGUGGGUCCCCCUUUGCGGGGAGGGCUCGCGUUUUCACACAAAACUUGAUACAGUCUAGAAUGUUUAUUUUUGCGAUAACACGCAAUCAAUACAACUUUCAACAACGGAUCUCUUGGCUCUCGCAUCGAUGAAGAACGCAGCGAAAUGCGAUACGUAAUGUGAAUUGCAGAAUUCAGUGAAUCAUCGAAUCUUUGAACGCACCUUGCGCCCCUUGGCAUUCCGAGGGGCACACCCGUUUGAGUGUCGUGAAAUUCUCAAAAUCCUUUUCUUUGAUCGGAAUAGGACUUUUGGACUUGGAGGUUCAAUGCUCGCUUUCGCCUUUGAAAGCGAGCUCCUCUCAAAUGAAUCAGUGGGGUCCGCUUUGCUGGUCCUUGACGUGAUAAGAUGCUUCUACGUUUUGGAUUCGGCAUUGUUUUCUCCGCUCCUAACUGUCCCAUGGGACAACGAUGGUGCUUCGGUCGUCGCCAUCUAUGGCGGGAGGCUGAACCCACAAAGAACCUUGACCUCAAAUCGGGUGAGACUACCCGCUG
Molecule: ribosomal RNA, 662 nt
Filed under: uncultured Russulaceae
Lineage: Eukaryota; Fungi; Basidiomycota; Agaricomycetes; Russulales; Russulaceae
Description: eukaryotic LSU rRNA
Rfam family: 5.8S ribosomal RNA (bases 225-378)
Source: RNAcentral